UGGAUCCAGACUUUGAUUAUGGCUCAGGAUGAACGCUAGCUACAGGCUUAACACAUGCAAGUCGAGGGGAAACGACAUCCAAAGCUUGCCUUUGAUGGGCGUCGACCGGCGCACGGGUGAGUAACGCGUAUCCAACCUGCCCACCACUUGGGGAUAACCUUGCGAAAGUAAGACUAAUACCCAAUGACGUCUCUAGAAGACAUCUGAAAGAGAUUAAAGAUUUAUCGGUGAUGGAUGGGGAUGCGUCUGAUUAGCUUGUUGGCGGGGUAACGGCCCACCAAGGCGACGAUUAGUAGGGGUUCUGAGAGGAAGGUCCCCCACAUUGGAACUGAUACACGGUCCAAACUCCUACGGGAGGCAGCAGUGAGGAAUAUUGGUCAAUGGACGAGAGUCUGAACCAGCCAAGUAGCGUGCAGGAUGACGGCCCUAUGGGUUGUAAACUGCUUUUAUAAGGGAAUAAAGUGAGUCUCGUGAGACUUUUUGCAAGUACCUUAUGAAUAAGGACCGGCUAAUUCCGUGCCAGCAGCCGCGGUAAUACGGAAGGUCCGGGCGUUAUCCGGAUUUAUUGGGUUUAAAGGGAGCGUAGGCCGGAGAUUAAGCGUGUUUGUGAAAAUGUAA
RNAcentral lists this ribosomal RNA (618 nucleotides) under uncultured Bacteroidota bacterium. Its description in RNAcentral is "bacterial SSU rRNA". It matches the Rfam family "Bacterial small subunit ribosomal RNA", at positions 1 to 606 of the family's 1533-position model. The record is from RNAcentral. Lineage: Bacteria; Pseudomonadati; Bacteroidota.